Molecule: unclassified non-coding RNA, 3404 nt
Filed under: Hevea brasiliensis (rubber tree)
Lineage: Eukaryota; Viridiplantae; Streptophyta; Magnoliopsida; Malpighiales; Euphorbiaceae
Source: RNAcentral
UUUUUUUUUUGGUCACCUAGAACAAUGAGCAUGGGUUGAUUUUUUUUGGGAAAAAUAACACACUAAUGUGAUUUUGCAGUCCAAGUGCUUGAAGUUAGUUUUUCAAGCAGCAAAAACCAAAAAUGUGAAGUGUUACAAGAACAAGCCCUAAAUUAAUAUGGAACAAAGUUUCUCAACAUUACUCGAGGAUUUCCUUGAACUAAAAAUCUCACUUACCAUAAAUGAAACAAUUCUACCAUACCCAUCUACAAAGAAUCAACUGUAGGCUUCAAUCUCCAUCAACGCUACUCCAGGACACUUUCCUGCCUCACAAAUUGCAGAUAAGAACAGAACCAGGGGUAGCUUAGAUGGACAUACUGCUACGCAAAGCAAGCAUAGGUAAUUAUCUGCAGCCAAAUGUAAACAUGAUAACUCCAAUAAGCUUUGCUAAAUACUUUGAAUUACCUAAAGAAAACAUAGCAGUUAUUACCAAUCAAUCGCAAUCAUUACCUAGUUUCACAUAGCUAUACAUAUAACAGAACUGUUGCUCAGGUGUCUCACUAAUACCCUUGUUAUGAGUUUCAAGAUGCAAAAAAUUGGGCAGACACAGCCAAUCAAGAAGUAGUUUGGUUGGUUUCCCUCCACCUUUAAAGGUGCAGGAGUAAGAAGGUUUCAACUUUGAAUGUUCCCAUCUACUUAUUCUAAGAUUUAUCACCUUCAUGGUGAGAGUUGUUAAAAGGAGAGGGCCACCUCCUAUAUUGUGUAACUCAUCCGUUAUUCUUUGGCCCAUUAGACCUCCACUGAAUUAAAAAAACUUGGAUAAACACAAAAUACACGUACCAUCACAAUAAAGUUUCCAAGUAUACAGGUGCAAGAGGACAUAUUAAACAUGUAAGAGAUAUCAGAAGUCCACCUAAACAUGUGAAAGAGAUAUAAAGUCAUUGUUGGGCUCUUGCCAAAAAGCUUAAACUUUUAAGCCAAGUAGUUAUUACACAGAGUACCAAAGCAUACAUUAGGUUUCUAAACUCUACAGCCAUUCACCUUCUUUGUCAUUCAUUAGAAAGUGCUUCUUAUCUUAUUGUUCUCUUCUUUGUAGCCCAAUAAUAUUAUAUUCAGCAAAAGAUGGAAGUAAGCUUUUCUUUGUUUAUACUUCAACCCAUUGGCUUUUGCAUAAUGGGUGUCUUAGAGAUAUUUAAAUCAAUUCUUGAGCGUUCACCUACAUGCUUUAGCCUUUAGGUUGAAUGGAUAUUUUACAAUGUGAUAUAUUGCUCAUGAUUUUAAGUUGAUGCUGAGUAUGAUCCCUUAGUCUAGACAUACUUCAAUUUGCAGUUACAAAGUAUCUGUAACCAAGAAAUAUGGAAGAAAUACAAGGGAUCAUCACACUUAACUUCAAAUUAAGGAUCUGUAACCAUGAAAUAUGGAAUGAAAAUGCAGAAACCCAAUGAUUACAUACACACAAACAGAAAGAAUUUGUUCUGCGUGCAGUAAAGAUUGACAACUAAACUUCCAAACCACUAGAUGAGAGAAAAGACGAAAUGGGACACCAACUCUUACAAAGUGUGACCAAAUCAACCAUGCUGAAUUUGGAACAAAGCAGAGCAUUAGACCUAAUGGUAAAAAGAAAUAGGCAGAAAACCUGCAACUACAAUAUAUAGUCAUAAGACAAAUGUUCUACACUUCUAUUAACCAUCAAUCCUCAAGGAUUCCCCUGAUGUUAUGAUUUUAUGCACCAGGUAAAGCCCCCAACCUCUUGAUUGUGCUUCUUAUUAUUAUACUGACAUCAAGAGAACAUCAUGCUGAAUUCAAAAUGAAGCAGACGAUUAGACCUAAUGGAGAAAACACAUAGGCAGCAAGCCUGCAACUAAAUUAUAUAGUCCUAACAGUUUCUCUACUAACCACAACACUCAAUGAUUCCCUCAGUUACAACUUUAUGAUUUUAUCCACCAUGUAAAGCCCCAGACCUCUUGAUUUAUAUUUCUUAAGCUUACACUGACAUCCUGAGAUUCUCUUGAUAUAAGGGCUAAGACAUGGCAAUUUGGCCAAAGUGGCAACUCAACCUCUAUUCAUGUAGAAGAGAAAGCUUCCACCAGUUACCCAACAUAUUACACCUCAGCAACAUGUAAUGAUCUAGAGCACAGCAGGCAAGGUGGAAUUCAUUGUAGUCCAUUACUUUUUAGAGAAUUGCUAGUAUAUCAUGAAAUAACAUCGUUAAAAACAGCAAAUUUCAUAUUAGAUUUAUCUUAUUCUUUCAAAACCAGCUGAUACUACAAAUAUCAAGACUUCAAGUUCCUUUCAGCUUUUAUAGAUAGUCAUGAAUAAACCAAGAAAGAAGAAGAGAAAGAAAGAAAUGACCAUCAAAGAGUAAUGUUGUAUGAAUUACAUACACAACCAACUGUAAUCAUCACAAGAACUUAAUCCUAUGCCGCACGAACCAUAGCAAGCAGGAACCAAGAAGAAUGAUCAAAGAUGGGGGGGAAAAUUAUGUUCCUUUUAACUUACAAGCUGUGCAUCCUCUAUGCAUCUUAACGUGUCCCCUGUGGUAGCAGCAUUAUGCUAAAAAACAAAUCCAUGAGGGGGAAAAAAGACAUAACUAAAACUAAAACUUUGACUUAAACAGGAGCCAAGAGGUACUAAACAUGGAGCAACAGAACGAAGACAACAGUGCAACUGGACUGGGUACUAAUAUGAACCCAAAGAGAAAUAAGUAAAAAAUAAUCAACCAGAACCGCAGCAUGUUGCUUUUUUCUAUGUUGUAGUCAAUACACAGCUACAUUUCCAUUAACUGUUAGAGAAAAGUUUAAAUCUUCAACCCAUGCCGGGCAUCAACAAACAUUUCAUUUAGAAUCUUCAUCACUUACCAGCUUGAAAUUAUUAUUAUUAUUAUUGUUUUGAAAAAAAGCUUGAAAUUAAUUAAUCAUUUGCAAAUAAAAUAUCUAAGCGUUCUUUACAAUGUCCCAAUGAAACCACUCGCUCUUUUAAGUACCAGGUCAAGAAAAUAUAUAUAAAACGUAGUUUUAAAGACACCAGGUUAAUCAAAGGCCAAAGACGUAUGUGACCGAAAAUUUAACCACUGAAUCAAUAAAUUCAUAAAAAGCUAAAGUAGUCACCUUUAAUUUGUUCUAUAGUUUACUACUUAGAGAUAGAACAAUGUAAGUUACUGGGGAACACCAGCAGCAGCACCAUCAACUGGAUUUGCCAAAUCAGCUGGAAUGAUUUCAGCUUCCAAGAAGCGACUCAGAUGUUUAUCAUCCAAAUGUUCAGAGAGGCAUGCUCUAUAUUUCUGCCACUCAGAAACGCAUUCCUCCUUUUCCCAUUUACCCUUCACAAACUUCUCUGAGUACCACCUGUUGAAGCAAUUGUAGUAAGCAGCUCUGAGAUGAGCACAUGGCGAUGUUGAAGAAGAAGAAGAAGAGGGAGCUUUCUUG